This 302-nucleotide ribosomal RNA is filed under the name uncultured bacterium. RNAcentral's name for it is "partial 16S ribosomal RNA". It matches the Rfam family "Bacterial small subunit ribosomal RNA", at positions 508 to 807 of the family's 1533-position model. The record is from RNAcentral.
GCAGCCGCCACGGGAAAACGAAGGGCGCAAGCGUUAAUCGGAAUUACUGGGCGUAAAGCGUGCGUAGGCGGUGAGUUAAGUCUGCUGUGAAAUCCCCGGGCUCAACCUGGGAAUGGCAGUGGAUACUGGCUCGCUAGAGUGUGUCAGAGGAUGGUGGAAUUCCCGGUGUAGCGGUGAAAUGCGUAGAGAUCGGGAGGAACAUCAGUGGCGAAGGCGGUCAUCUGGGACAACACUGACGCUGAGGCACGAAAGCGUGGGGAGCGAACAGGAUUAGAUACCCGUGUAGUCCCUGUCUCUUAUAC